Molecule: ribosomal RNA, 465 nt
Filed under: Vreelandella stevensii
Lineage: Bacteria; Pseudomonadati; Pseudomonadota; Gammaproteobacteria; Oceanospirillales; Halomonadaceae
Description: partial 16S ribosomal RNA
Rfam family: Bacterial small subunit ribosomal RNA
Source: RNAcentral
CCUACGGGUGGCUGCAGUGGGGAAUAUUGGACAAUGGGCGAAAGCCUGAUCCAGCCAUGCCGCGUGUGUGAAGAAGGCCUUCGGGUUGUAAAGCACUUUCAGUGGGGAAGAAAGCCUUGGGGCUAAUACCCUCGAGGAAGGACAUCACCCACAGAAGAAGCACCGGCUAACUCCGUGCCAGCAGCCGCGGUAAUACGGAGGGUGCGAGCGUUAAUCGGAAUUACUGGGCGUAAAGCGCGCGUAGGCGGUCUUAUAAGCCGGUUGUGAAAGCCCCGGGCUCAACCUGGGAACGGCAUCCGGAACUGUCAGGCUAGAGUGCAGGAGAGGAAGGUAGAAUUCCCUGUGUAGCGGUGAAAUGCGUAGAGAUCGGGAGGAAUACCAGUGGCGAAGGCGGCCUUCUGGACUGACACUGACGCUGAGGUGCGAAAGCGUGGGUAGCAAACAGGAUUAGAUACCCCAGUAGUC